Molecule: non-coding RNA, 1272 nt
Organism: Schizosaccharomyces pombe (fission yeast)
Lineage: Eukaryota; Fungi; Ascomycota; Schizosaccharomycetes; Schizosaccharomycetales; Schizosaccharomycetaceae
Source: the annotation of a GenBank genome assembly
CUUGCACGACUGUUUUUUUGUCAAUGUUUAAAUCCUUGUCACAUCAACCAAAAUAAAGUUAUAAAAAAAAAUACCAUAGCGAAAUAUGUUACAUUAUAGAACGCUGUUAAUUUUACCUCUCUGAAAAUCAAUUACCCUUCCCCCAAGGACCACUGCGAAGGCUCUGUUGGCGAUAUCAGCAAGUCUCGCUAUUAGCAGACUGCCUUGGUCUGUUAAGAUAAAAGUUAGAAAGCCAUGCUUAGUGGGGAAGCCGUUCGAACAGUCAGUAGUGGCGAUGCCAACUAUAUGAGCCAUUUUUGCUUCCAGAUGUUAUAGACUGGGGAACCAUGUUAAAUUGACUCUCACUUCGCCGAAGAGCUUAUCGAACGCGCGAGCAGCCAAAGUAACAAGAGCAAGGAAAAAAUACUCAGAGCGGCAAAAAGCUGACAGAUUGUGGUAAAUGCAAAUGUGACGACAAUUUAGGUUGCUACAAACAUUUUAACGAUGAGUAGAGACAAAGUAUUAGAGUAUGACAGUCCAAGCAGGCAAUAUCCCACUACAAAGCGGAAGUUGUCAACAAGCAGCAGAUGCAGGAGUAAUAGCUACGGAACAACGAUAAGCAAAUCACGGAAUAUGAUUCCAAGAGAGUUUUACUUUUUAAUUUAAGCGUUUCUUACUCUUUCAUUGAAACAAGGAAAUUGAAGAGAAAGUAAAAUUUUUUCAAAAACGAUAUACGAAGUAGAGAAAAUUUAGAGUUGUUUAACCCAUAACCCAAUGAGGUUGUUUGCGUUUCUCGAGAAUUGUUGUCGCUUGGUAUGGAGAACGAGCGAAUAUUUUAGCGACGCGUAAAAUGUUAACCCGUCGCAGUAAUGAUCCGGUUUUAUCGGAUGCAAGGUAUCCAUACGGACCGAUUUGGUUUUCCAAUAAAGAUUGCCACAUGCAAGUUUCAGUUUGCAAAGUUGUCCUGAUCAUUAUUGGUAAGCAAACAAUUUGACUAGAAUUUUUUUUUCUUUUUUUAAAUUUGUUUUGGUUUUAUGUCAUCAAUAAUUAUGGGAAUUUAUUUCAAAAAAAAAUGAUGCUUUAUUAUUAUUAUUGUUGUUGUUGUUGUUAAUAUUAUCAUUACUAUCUCGUUGAAGUUUUCAAUGUCUUGCGGCAAGCCGUUGGGCCUUUUUUUUUAUUUUUUCUUUUUUAUUUAUUUAUUUGGAAUGAUCUUUUUAAUGGCAUAGCUAGAACAAUAUUUCCUCCCUACAAUGUGCAAGUAGUUUAAGCUUAUUAUGAUUUUUAAUACACGGA